CCUACGGGAGGCAGCAGUGGGGAAUUUUGGACAAUGGGCGCAAGCCUGAUCCAGCAAUGCCGCGUGAGUGAAGAAGGCCUUCGGGUUGUAAAGCUCUUUUGUCAGGGAAGAAACGGUGGAGGUUAAUACCUUCUGCUAAUGACGGUACCUGAAGAAUAAGCACCGGCUAACUACGUGCCAGCAGCCGCGGUAAUACGUAGGGUGCAAGCGUUAAUCGGAAUUACUGGGCGUAAAGCGUGCGCAGGCGGUUGUGCAAGACAGAUGUGAAAUCCCCGGGCUCAACCUGGGAAUUGCAUUUGUGACUGUACGGCUAGAGUGUGUCAGAGGGGGGUAGAAUUCCACGUGUAGCAGUGAAAUGCGUAGAGAUGUGGAGGAAUACCGAUGGCGAAGGCAGCCCCCUGGGAUAACACUGACGCUCAUGCACGAAAGCGUGGGGAGCAAACAGGAUUAGAUACCCUGGUAGUCCACGCCCUAAACGAUGUCUACUAGUUGUCGGGUCUUAAUUGACUUGGUAACGCAGCUAACGUGUGAAGUAGACCGCCUGGGGAGUCGGUCGCAAGNUUAAAACUUAAGGAAUUGACGGNUGAGAGNGCGAGACGACGACGAGGGAGGAGG
RNAcentral lists this ribosomal RNA (615 nucleotides) under uncultured bacterium. Its description in RNAcentral is "bacterial SSU rRNA". It matches the Rfam family "Bacterial small subunit ribosomal RNA", at positions 338 to 948 of the family's 1533-position model. The record is from RNAcentral.